AAGCACUUGACAAGUAUUCGAA
This 22-nucleotide microRNA is filed under the name Ananas comosus (pineapple). RNAcentral's name for it is "microRNA s0597_c83a". The record is from RNAcentral. Lineage: Eukaryota; Viridiplantae; Streptophyta; Magnoliopsida; Poales; Bromeliaceae.